Molecule: non-coding RNA, 22 nt
Filed under: Rattus norvegicus (Norway rat)
Lineage: Eukaryota; Metazoa; Chordata; Mammalia; Rodentia; Muridae
Source: RNAcentral
AUGUGUGUGCUUAUGUUGAUGU